RNAcentral lists this transfer RNA (69 nucleotides) under Ictidomys tridecemlineatus (thirteen-lined ground squirrel). RNAcentral's name for it is "Spermophilus tridecemlineatus (thirteen-lined ground squirrel) tRNA". It matches the Rfam family "tRNA". From Rfam's summary of the family: Transfer RNA (tRNA) molecules are approximately 80 nucleotides in length. Their secondary structure includes four short double-helical elements and three loops (D, anti-codon, and T loops). The record is from Rfam by way of RNAcentral. Lineage: Eukaryota; Metazoa; Chordata; Mammalia; Rodentia; Sciuridae.
GGGAUUGUGGCUCAGCGGUAGAGUUCUUGCCUAGCAUGUAUGAGGCACUGGGUUCAAUUCUCAGCACCG